RNAcentral lists this ribosomal RNA (469 nucleotides) under uncultured Anaerolineaceae bacterium. RNAcentral's name for it is "bacterial SSU rRNA". It matches the Rfam family "Bacterial small subunit ribosomal RNA", at positions 897 to 1382 of the family's 1533-position model. Lineage: Bacteria; Bacillati; Chloroflexota; Anaerolineae; Anaerolineales; Anaerolineaceae. The record is from RNAcentral.
AAACUUAAAUGAAUUGAGGGACCCGCACAAGCAGCGGAGCGUGUGGUUUAAUUCGUUGCUACACGAAGAACCUUACCUGGGUUUGACAUAUAGGUUGUAGGGAACUGAAAGGGACCGACCCUUCGGGGAGCCUAUACAGGUGUUGCAUGGCUGUCGUCAGCUCGUGUCGUGAGAUGUUCGGUUAAGUCCGCUAACGAGCGCAACCCUCGUCGUAUGUUAUAUGUGUCAUACGAGACUGCCGGUAAAAAGCCGGAGGAGGGUGAGGAUGAUGUCAAGUCAGCAUGACCUUUAUAUCCAGGGCUACACACACGCUACAAUGGUCUGUACAAUGGGUAGCCAAGCCGCGAGGCGGAGCCAAUCUUGAAAGCAGGCCUCAGUUCAGAUUGCAGUCUGCAACUCGACUGCAUGAAGCCGGAGUUGCUAGUAACCGCAGGUCAGCAAUACUGCGGUGAAUACGUUCCCGGGUCUU